GGCUUCCUCAACCUCGGCCCUCCAAAUGUUUUGGGACUACAACUCCCAUGAUCCCUAGCUAACUGGACCAGAGGUCAGGGAUGAUGGGAAUUGUAGUCCCAAAACAGCAGGUGGGCCAAGGUUGAGGAAGCC
Podarcis lilfordi (Lilford's wall lizard) is the source of this 132-nucleotide non-coding RNA. The record is from the annotation of a GenBank genome assembly. Lineage: Eukaryota; Metazoa; Chordata; Lepidosauria; Squamata; Lacertidae.